Molecule: transfer RNA, 77 nt
Filed under: Candidatus Doudnaibacteriota bacterium
Lineage: Bacteria; Candidatus Doudnaibacteriota
Description: Candidatus Doudnabacteria bacterium tRNA-Arg
Rfam family: tRNA
About the family: Transfer RNA (tRNA) molecules are approximately 80 nucleotides in length. Their secondary structure includes four short double-helical elements and three loops (D, anti-codon, and T loops).
Source: RNAcentral
GGCUCUGUAGCUCAGUGGAUUAGAGCGUCUCCCUCCGAAGGAGAAGGUCGCUGGUUCGAUUCCAGCCAGAGUCACCA